This 292-nucleotide long non-coding RNA is filed under the name Hordeum vulgare. Its description in RNAcentral is "long non-coding RNA (HVUL_LNC006944)". Lineage: Eukaryota; Viridiplantae; Streptophyta; Magnoliopsida; Poales; Poaceae. The record is from RNAcentral.
GAAUGAUGGAAAGGAAGGAGAGGGGCAUGUGCUUAAGGUUGUUGCGACCUGGUGGUGGCGCUCGCCGGUGCUGCUCCGAUUCAACCUGGAUCGAGGCUAGAGAAGAUGGGAACGAGGCGCUCGACCUUGCGGGCCUGUUUGUCGCUGCAAUGAGGAGGCCUCCCGUUCGCCCGAUCUGACCACAAACGGACAGGAUUGAUGGAUCUGACUAACCCGCGUUGGCUGGUGGAAUGAAGUAGUGGCGGCGGAUCCAGAUAGGGAGGAUCCCGAGGAGGGAGGUGUAGCUGACGAC